Long non-coding RNA from Physella acuta, 700 nucleotides. RefSeq lists it as uncharacterized. The record is from RefSeq and is a predicted model, not a curated record. NCBI's taxonomy places the organism in Eukaryota, Metazoa, Mollusca, Gastropoda, Physidae.
UGUCGGGUGAAGUAAUUUAUGUUUAUCUGUACAGUGGUUUAAUUCAAACCUGAUGUAUGAUCAUCAAACACACUAGACACUUAGGGAGUUACGUCCACUUUACAGAACCUUUCUUAGUCAAAAUAAGCUAUUACAUCGAUCCAGUCCUUGCACUUCAAAGACUGCCCGCUAUGCUGACGGUGACUGUAUUGGUGUGUGCUGUACUGGGCGUACACGCGAAAAAACUGAUUUUGUUUCCCGACAACAAGGCACUGCUCUAUUCACAGGAGAGUAAUAAAUGGCGCUCUUUCAGCCAGUUGAAAGCCAUUCGAUGGUCAAAUGACGGUAUAGAUGACAUCAAGAGUUAUCAUAAUUCAGUGGACGAAUACUGUGCACCACGGGCCCCUACAAUCCCCGCUAAAUACCAGUACAAAAACUGUCUACUGAUGGUCUCUGAAAAACAACAACAAAAAGUUUAUGAAAGUAAUGUCAACUGCUUAGUGGAAAAAAACAAACACAUCAAUAGACCGGACAUCACACAAUUUGCCUGUGCCAUCACUGUGUGCUACAACAAGUUGUUCUUCCCUAUCGCGUACAUGUAUCUGUUCACCUGUUUUUACUGGUGAUCGUACCUAGGUUCGGACUGUGUGUGCAGAAUCUGCCUGGCAACAACUGUAGGUGGUACAAUAAAAAGUAAAACCAAACAAUGACAGUUUUAGUA